This 246-nucleotide ribosomal RNA is filed under the name uncultured bacterium. RNAcentral's name for it is "partial 16S ribosomal RNA". It matches the Rfam family "Bacterial small subunit ribosomal RNA", at positions 333 to 577 of the family's 1533-position model. The record is from RNAcentral.
CGACCUACAGGGGGCAGCAGUGAGGAAUAUUGGUCAAUGGGCGGGAGCCUGAACAAGCCAAGUCGCGUGAGGGAAGACGGUCCUAUGGAUUGUAAACCUCUUUAGGCGGGGAGCAAUGCCGGGCACGCGUGCCCGGAGGGAGAGUACCCGCAGAAUAAGCAUCGGCUAACUCCGUGCCAGCAGCCGCGGUGAUACGGAGGAGGGGCGCGUUAUCCGGAUUUAUUGGGUUUAAAGGGGGCGGAGGCG